UACGAAGGGUGCAAGCGUUACUCGGAAUUACUGGGCGUAAAGCGUGCGUAGGCGGUUUGUUAAGUCUGCCGUGAAAGCCCCGGGCUCAACCUGGGAAUUGCGGUGGAUACUGGCAGGCUAGAGUGCGGUAGAGGGUGGUGGAAUUCCCGGUGUAGCAGUGAAAUGCGUAGAGAUCGGGAGGAACAUCUAUGGCGAAGGCAGCCACCUGGACCAGCACUGACGCUGAGGCACGAAAGCGUGGGGAGCAAAC
RNAcentral lists this ribosomal RNA (250 nucleotides) under uncultured Arenimonas sp. RNAcentral describes it as "partial 16S ribosomal RNA". It matches the Rfam family "Bacterial small subunit ribosomal RNA", at positions 524 to 773 of the family's 1533-position model. Lineage: Bacteria; Pseudomonadati; Pseudomonadota; Gammaproteobacteria; Lysobacterales; Lysobacteraceae. The record is from RNAcentral.